This 253-nucleotide ribosomal RNA is filed under the name uncultured bacterium. RNAcentral's name for it is "partial 16S ribosomal RNA". It matches the Rfam family "Bacterial small subunit ribosomal RNA", at positions 524 to 776 of the family's 1533-position model. The record is from RNAcentral.
UACGUAGGGUGCAAGCGUUAUCCGGAAUUAUUGGGCGUAAAGAGCUUGUAGGCGGUCUGUCGCGUCUGCUGUGAAAAUCCGGGGCUCAACCCCGGACUUGCAGUGGGUACGGGCAGACUAGAGUGUGGUAGGGGAGACUGGAAUUCCUGGUGUAGCGGUGAAAUGCGCAGAUAUCAGGAGGAACGCCGAUGGCGAAGGCAGGUCUCUGGGCCACUACUGACGCUGAGGAGCGAAAGCGUGGGGAGCGAACAGG